This is a long non-coding RNA of Sebastes umbrosus (honeycomb rockfish), 1160 nucleotides long. RefSeq lists it as uncharacterized. NCBI's taxonomy places the organism in Eukaryota, Metazoa, Chordata, Actinopteri, Perciformes, Sebastidae. The record is from RefSeq and is a predicted model, not a curated record. The transcript is spliced from 2 exons.
UGCACUCAAAGUUCAAAUUAUUUCAGCUUUGACCUCGGUUGCUGCUGACCUGUCAGAGCGCAACCAAUGAGAUAACAGCUGCAACUGUUGUUGCCUAGAAACAGUAAAUCACUUUCCUUGCUCACUUUCUGAUGACAUAUCAUACCUGCACUGUGCACCUUGUGAUGAGUGAAGAGCACAUUUCUUAUCAUGUGAAGGCAGCUUAACAUUAAUGUAUUAGUCUCUUUUAGUCUCAUCCUCCCUCUGGUGCCUAAUUUCCCUCCUUCAGGACCAACCACUGGGAGACUGGAGGUUAGAAACGCGGGUCAAUGAAAAAAUCAUCUCAUACACAUUUGAGAAAUCAUUUGAACUCACGUCUGGAAGCAACGUCACUAUGUCUGGCCAUGGUGGUGGCCGAUUUCAGCCCACUGAGCUGUGUUGGAAGGACUUGACAUCCUGGAGCUAUGCAGACAAUCUGAAGUUCUUCCUCAUCAGUACCACUGAUGUCCGAUAUCAACUCAGUUCAUACUUAAUGAGCAGUUAUUAAUUAUCCAGCUGUCAUACUUGCUUUCAUUCUUAUCUUAUCUUAUCUAUUUGCUCCUUGGUAAAGGGUAGUUACCAUCAGUAACACCAGAAUGCAUUCUGAAUGGUAAAUAGUGAUGUAAACAUUAAACAUCAGGAACAGCAGGACUCAGCUCUUCCUGUAAAAACACAUGUUGUAAUGAUCAGUAAACACUGGAGAACAUCUCUGUUUGAUCUGAUCAAUCAAACUUUAUUACGUUUCUUCUUCUUCUUGUAAAUUCAACAACUCAAAAUAUGUUUAGUUUGAAAUGUGGUGAAAUAUCUGCAUUUGUUUUAUGUUUAUUGUUCAUUGCUCUUCAUUGUUAAGGUAAAAUAUCAUUCUGAAAUCUCCAAUAUUGAACUAACUCAGGGACUUUUAUUUUCUAUGUUUACUGGAUUGAAUGUUUAUUGGUGUUAAUCUAUGUUCUGUAUUGUUUGUAAUUCAAUCUUGUCUAUAUAUAAUCCCAUACUGUAAUGAACAGAUACAAAGAUAAAUACAUGUUUGACAUUUUAUUAUCAAGCCCAGAUGCUGUACAGUUAUAUCAGUAUAUCAACUUCCAAGUAUGUAUUUUUUUUAUAUUUGUCUCAACUUACACUAUAUAAAGAAAAAUAUCAUUUUA